Molecule: ribosomal RNA, 117 nt
Organism: Anoxybacillus sp. B7M1
Lineage: Bacteria; Bacillati; Bacillota; Bacilli; Caryophanales; Anoxybacillaceae
Source: Rfam
CCUAGUGGCGAUGGCGGAGAGGUCACACCCGUUCUCAUCCCGAACACGGAAGUUAAGCUCUCCAGCGCCGAUGGUAGUUGGGGCUAACGCCCCUGCAAGAGUAGGACGUUGCUAGGC